This 661-nucleotide long non-coding RNA is filed under the name Manihot esculenta (cassava). Its description in RNAcentral is "long non-coding RNA (MESC_LNC006771)". The record is from RNAcentral. Lineage: Eukaryota; Viridiplantae; Streptophyta; Magnoliopsida; Malpighiales; Euphorbiaceae.
UACUCUAUUGUUCUCUCUAAAGUAAUUUUAUUGGAUUUGAGUAAAAAGCAUGGCAAAACUUUUCAUUCUUAAGAUAAUUUCAGCUAUAGCUCUUUUUUGGCACAACUCAUUUGAUUUUCUUUCCUUUGAUUUCUCUAUACUGUUAUUUGCAAGAGAUAAAGUAGAACUCUUUUUUUUUAUUUUCUUUUCUUUGUUGCUUUUUAAUGAAUGGGAACGAAAACAAAAAUUAUUGAUAAUAUUUAUUUAUCUUUCUCUCUUCGAUCUGUGCAGCGCGUUUCCUGAGAAUGACUCAAUAUAGAGAUCAAUGUUGAGGAGAAGCUUCUACAUAGCAAUGGAACCUCUAUUGCUGCUAGUGUCAACUCUAACGAUAGACGUGAUGAUGGGCGUGACUCUAUGAGUGACGAACUGGAAUCGAGCACGCUUAAAAACUAUGGAUUGCGAAAGAACCAAUGGAAGCUGCCUUGAGCUAUCCUCGUCUGCUACUGGAACAAGAGCCUUGUUCUUUAAUUCUUCUUCUUGGCGCUUGAAGCGACAUCACUCGGCUAAUAAACAAGUAGUCCCUCACACACUUGAACUCAUGCUAUUUUAUCUAAUUUAUUUUAAUUUUAUUUUUCAAAUUUUUUUUUUAAUUUCCAUAUCAUUAUUUUCUACAGUUUCUUUG